AUCCAACUGACGAGUCCCAAAUAGGACGAAAUGCGCAUCUUCACUGGAU
Molecule: non-coding RNA, 49 nt
Filed under: Trichobilharzia regenti
Lineage: Eukaryota; Metazoa; Platyhelminthes; Trematoda; Strigeidida; Schistosomatidae
Source: RNAcentral